UACGGAGGGUGCUAGCGUUGUUCGGAAUUACUGGGCGUAAAGCGCGCGUAGGCGGCUUUGUAAGUUAGAGGUGAAAGCCCGGAGCUCAACUCCGGAACUGCCUUUAAGACUGCAUCGCUUGAAUCCAGGAGAGGUGAGUGGAAUUCCGAGUGUAGAGGUGAAAUUCGUAGAUAUUCAGAAGAACACCAGUGGCGAAGGCGGCUCACUGGACUGGUAUUGACGCUGAGGUGCGAAAGCGUGGGGAGCAAACAGG
RNAcentral lists this ribosomal RNA (253 nucleotides) under uncultured bacterium. RNAcentral's name for it is "partial 16S ribosomal RNA". It matches the Rfam family "Bacterial small subunit ribosomal RNA", at positions 524 to 776 of the family's 1533-position model. The record is from RNAcentral.